UGUAUUAUUGCAUCUUUAAAAAUCUCUUCUAUCAUCUUUUAUUUUGAUAUCUGGGCCUGAUCAUGUGGCAUCUUGAUUUUGGCAGGAAAAGGUGGAAGAAUUAGGUAUGGUUAGGCCUUCUUCAAAAGUGAUCAUCAAGUUUUCUUCUUAUUUAAAGACAUGGUAUAUUGGUGAUUUUGAGUAUGUUGAUGACCGCACAUCAAGGAUUAGUAGGAGCUGAACAAAGCAAAACCAAGUAGCCAAUUCUUCUGUGAGUGCAGUGGUAGCAAACCUCAACUAGGGGCUAGAUGUGGUGCGAAAAUCUUCGUAGGUAUUGCAUAUAUUGAACCAAUGAGCUCUUGGUCUAGUGGUCCAAAAGAUGUGGGAGGCUUUGCCUCUCUGGAGGUCCUGAAUUCAAAUCCAGACAAUGGUGGUUAGUUAUUAUCUGGCGAUAACUGACUGCUAACAACUAACAUUUGUUGUUAAAAUAAAAGGUAUUACAUAUAUGGAAUAUAAUUGUAACAUGAGUUUCAUUAAAAUGAUUUAUUGAUAUUAUUUGCUUA
Erigeron canadensis is the source of this 542-nucleotide long non-coding RNA. RefSeq lists it as uncharacterized. Lineage: Eukaryota; Viridiplantae; Streptophyta; Magnoliopsida; Asterales; Asteraceae. The transcript has 2 exons. The record is from RefSeq and is a predicted model, not a curated record.